GUGAGGAAUAUUGGUCAAUGGGCGGGAGCCUGAACCAGCCAAGUCGCGUGAGGGAAGACGGCCCUACGGGUUGUAAACCUCUUUUGUCGGGGAGCAAAGAGCGCCACGCGUGGCGAGAUGAGAGUACCCGAAGAAAAAGCAUCGGCUAACUCCGUGCCAGCAGCCGCGGUAAUACGGAGGAUGCGAGCGUUAUCCGGAUUUAUUGGGUUUAAAGGGUGCGCAGGCGGAAAGUGCAAGUCAGCGGUCAAACGACGGGGCUCAACCCCGUCUCGCCGUUGAAACUGUCUUUCUAGAGUGAGCGAGAGGUAUGCGGAAUGCGUGGUGUAGCGGUGAAAUGCAUAGAUAUCACGCAGAACCCCGAUUGCGAAGGCAGCAUACCGGUGCUCAACUGACGCUGAUGCACGAAAGCGUGGGGAUCAAACAGG
This 425-nucleotide ribosomal RNA is filed under the name uncultured bacterium. Its description in RNAcentral is "bacterial SSU rRNA". It matches the Rfam family "Bacterial small subunit ribosomal RNA", at positions 354 to 776 of the family's 1533-position model. The record is from RNAcentral.